Molecule: ribosomal RNA, 277 nt
Filed under: uncultured prokaryote
Description: partial 16S ribosomal RNA
Rfam family: Bacterial small subunit ribosomal RNA
Source: RNAcentral
UACGAAGGGUGCAAGCGUUAAUCGGAAUUACUGGGCGUAAAGCGCGCGUAGGUGGUUCGUUAAGUUAGGAGUGAAAGCCCCGGGCUCAACCUGGGAAUUGCUUCUAAAACUGGCGAGCUAGAGUAUGGUAGAGGGUGGUGGAAUUUCCUGUGUAGCGGUGAAAUGCGUAGAUAUAGGAAGGAACAUCAGUGGCGAAGGCGACCACCUGGACUGAUACUGACACUGAGGUGCGAAAGUGUGGGGAGCAAACAGGAUUAGAUACCCGGGUAGUCCCUGA